This is a small nucleolar RNA of Suncus etruscus (white-toothed pygmy shrew), 104 nucleotides long. Lineage: Eukaryota; Metazoa; Chordata; Mammalia; Eulipotyphla; Soricidae. The record is from RefSeq and is a predicted model, not a curated record.
UCACCUCUGUGAUGGCAAAACACUGGGCUCUGAUCUCAUAUGAGGACAGUGUUCUCCGGGACCUUUGACACAAGGUUCUGCUCCUUCUGCUCAAAAAGGGGGAA